UUAACUAAAAUUUGUAUGAAGUUGGAACGUUUGCCUACGUUCGCAGCUAGGGGUGCUGUGCCAGCUCCAUACAAAUUUGAGUUA
This is a non-coding RNA of Bombyx mori (domestic silkworm), 84 nucleotides long. NCBI's taxonomy places the organism in Eukaryota, Metazoa, Arthropoda, Insecta, Lepidoptera, Bombycidae. The record is from Rfam.